AAGUCGUAACAAGGUAAUCGUAGGUGAACCUGCGGUUGGAUCAUUCUUAUACGAGCGGAGUCUGUCGUCGCACGCAGUGUGACGGCAGACGAAGCGAAAGCUGUCUCUUCUUCCACUGCAAAGUGGGAAAGGUGACACAAUCACACCAACAACCACAAAUCAGAAGAAUGUGAUCAUGUCAUGCAUAUCACAUUCCAUCCAACACCAAAUAAUCAUAAUCCUAUAAUCACAAUCAUACAAACAAUAAUAACUUUUGACAAUGGAUCUCUUGGUUCUC
RNAcentral lists this unclassified non-coding RNA (277 nucleotides) under fungal sp. Its description in RNAcentral is "partial internal transcribed spacer region". The stretch from base 1 to 46 matches the Rfam family "Eukaryotic small subunit ribosomal RNA", at positions 1786 to 1831 of the family's 1831-position model. The record is from RNAcentral. Lineage: Eukaryota; Fungi.